RNAcentral lists this ribosomal RNA (271 nucleotides) under uncultured prokaryote. Its description in RNAcentral is "partial 16S ribosomal RNA". It matches the Rfam family "Bacterial small subunit ribosomal RNA", at positions 524 to 794 of the family's 1533-position model. The record is from RNAcentral.
UACGUAGGUGGCGAGCGUUGUCCGGAUUUACUGGGCGUAAAGGGAGCGUAGGCGGACUUUUAAGUGAGAUGUGAAAUACCCGGGCUCAACUUGGGUGCUGCAUUUCAAACUGGAAGUCUAGAGUGCGGGAGAGGAGAAUGGAAUUCCUAGUGUAGCGGUGAAAUGCGUAGAGAUUAGGAAGAACACCAGUGGCGAAGGCGAUUCUCUGGACUGUAACUGACGCUGAGGCUCGAAAGCGUGGGGAGCAAACAGGAUUAGAUACCCCCGUAGU